Molecule: small nuclear RNA, 162 nt
Filed under: Meriones unguiculatus (Mongolian gerbil)
Lineage: Eukaryota; Metazoa; Chordata; Mammalia; Rodentia; Muridae
Description: U1 spliceosomal RNA (ENSMUGG00000019438.1)
Rfam family: U1 spliceosomal RNA
About the family: U1 is a small nuclear RNA (snRNA) component of the spliceosome (involved in pre-mRNA splicing).
Source: RNAcentral
AUACUUACCUAGUGAAGGUAACAGGACCGGAGAAGUAGCUGUUCCAGGGCGAUGAUUACCCACUGCACGAAAGCUAUGCUGACCCCUGUGAUGUUUCCAGAGGCAGGAAUCUUGGCUGUAGAAUCUGUGGUAGCAUAGGGACUACACUUGUGCUCUCCCUUG